RNAcentral lists this ribosomal RNA (400 nucleotides) under Episymploce forficula. RNAcentral's name for it is "partial small subunit ribosomal RNA". The record is from RNAcentral. Lineage: Eukaryota; Metazoa; Arthropoda; Insecta; Blattodea; Blattellidae.
UAUUAUUUUGGAUGUAAAUUAUUUAAACUUGAGUAGUAGUAGAUAAGAUCUUGAAACUUAAAGAAUUUGGCGGUAUUUUAGUCUAUUUAGAGGAAUCUGUCCCAUAAUCGAUAAUCCGCGUUGGACCUUACUUAAUUUAUAAUAAUAUGUAUACCGCCGUUGUUGAAAAUCUUUUUAGGGUUAUGGAAUUUUUUUAAUAUUUAUUAGAUAAAUUUUCAGGUCAAGGUGCAGUUUAUAAUUAAGUGGUGAUGGAUUACAAUAUUUAUAUUAUAUAUGAAUUAUUGUCUGUAAUUGAUAAUAUGAAGGUGGAUUUAAUAGUAAUAUUAUGAAGGUUGUUAAUAUGAUUUUAGCUCUAAAAUAUGCACACAUCGCCCGUCGCUCUCGUUAUAUUUAAGGUGAG